GCAGUGGUGGUUCAGGGAUAGAAUUCUUACUUUUCAUGCAGAAAACUGGGUUCAAUUCUCAGCCAAUGCA
This 70-nucleotide transfer RNA is filed under the name Loxodonta africana (African savanna elephant). It matches the Rfam family "tRNA". Rfam says of the family: Transfer RNA (tRNA) molecules are approximately 80 nucleotides in length. Their secondary structure includes four short double-helical elements and three loops (D, anti-codon, and T loops). Further hydrogen bonds mediate the characteristic L-shaped molecular structure. tRNAs have two regions of fundamental functional importance: the anti-codon, which is responsible for specific mRNA codon recognition, and the 3' end, to which the tRNAs corresponding amino acid is attached (by aminoacyl-tRNA synthetases). tRNAs cope with the degeneracy of the genetic code in two manners: having more than one tRNA (with a specific anti-codon) for a particular amino acid; and 'wobble' base-pairing, i.e. permitting non-standard base-pairing at the 3rd anti-codon position. The record is from Rfam by way of RNAcentral. Lineage: Eukaryota; Metazoa; Chordata; Mammalia; Proboscidea; Elephantidae.